UACGUAGGGGGCAAGCGUUGUUCGGAAUCAUUGGGCGUAAAGCGCACGUAGGCGGUCUGUUAUGUCGGAUGUGAAAGCCCUUGGCUCAACUGAGGAAGUGCAUCCGAAACUGGCAGGCUUGAGUACGAAAGAGGAUCGCGGAAUUCCCGGUGUAGAGGUGAAAUUCGUAGAUAUCGGGAGGAACACCGGUGGCGAAGGCGGCGACCUGGGUCGAUACUGACGCUGAGGUGCGAAAGCGUGGGGAGCAAACAGG
RNAcentral lists this ribosomal RNA (253 nucleotides) under uncultured prokaryote. RNAcentral describes it as "partial 16S ribosomal RNA". It matches the Rfam family "Bacterial small subunit ribosomal RNA", at positions 524 to 776 of the family's 1533-position model. The record is from RNAcentral.